GUUUUUAAUAUGUGGCCAGAAGACUACUACUAGAUCUUUUUUUUUCUUUUGUGAGAAGCCAUUUUAUUAAUUACUUUGGUGCCAGAUGCAACAGCAAUGCAUUGGAAAGCAGAACAAUUAUUUGGAUGUCCCAUUGGCACUCAGUUAAAACAAUAUUCGGCUUUCUAUUUAUUGGUAUAUAAGGUGCAAGAUUCUUCCAGUUAAUUCCACGAUGGCUUCUUUGUCAAAAAGGCAACAGGAGGGGGGAGGUUUCGUUAUGUUGAGCUAACAUGGAAAGAGAGCUGGUACAUUCAAUAGGAUGCAUCCGGAGCGGGACAAAUGUCCUAAUCUCUGUAAUAUUCACCAAGGCUUGUGAUGGGCAGGUGGUUGAGAGCUCUUCAGGUGUGAAAAGAACAGGUCACGCAUUUCUGGUUUGAGGCUUAGUCCAGGCAAUGUGAAUAUGG
Pelobates cultripes (western spadefoot toad) is the source of this 443-nucleotide non-coding RNA. The record is from the annotation of a GenBank genome assembly. Lineage: Eukaryota; Metazoa; Chordata; Amphibia; Anura; Pelobatidae.